This 195-nucleotide small nuclear RNA is filed under the name Medicago truncatula (barrel medic). Its description in RNAcentral is "sRNA gene50028". It matches the Rfam family "U2 spliceosomal RNA". From Rfam's summary of the family: U2 is a small nuclear RNA (snRNA) component of the spliceosome (involved in pre-mRNA splicing). The record is from Rfam by way of RNAcentral. Lineage: Eukaryota; Viridiplantae; Streptophyta; Magnoliopsida; Fabales; Fabaceae.
AUACCUUUCUCGGCCUUUUGGCUAAGAUCAAGUGUAGUAUCUGUUCUUAUCAGUUUAAUAUCUGAUAUGUGGUCCAAUGGGUCACACGAUAUUAAAUUACUUUUUUGAUGGGGAGAAGCCACCCCAAUAGCUUGCUAUUGGGCUUCUCGAGUGUCGCCUAUGUGUUGCACUAUUGCAUGGGCUGGCGCACCCCAU